AUAUUAUUAAGCGGAGGAAAAGAAACUAACAAGGAUUCCCCUAGUAACGGCGAGUGAAGCGGGAAGAGCUCAAAGUUAAAAUCGGGGCACCUAGCGGUGCUUCCGACUUGUAAUCUAGAGACACUUUUUCAGCUUCGACCCGGGUAUAAAUCUUUUGAAACAAGGUGUCAUAGAGGGUGAGAAUCCCGUCUUUGACCCGGAGUUCGGGGCGUACGAAGGGUGUUCCAAGAGUCGAAUAGCUUGGGAAUGCUGUUCUAAAUGGGUGGUAAAUUUCAUCUAAAGCUAAAUAUCGACGAGAGACCGAUAGCGCACAAGUA
RNAcentral lists this ribosomal RNA (317 nucleotides) under uncultured eukaryote. RNAcentral's name for it is "partial large subunit ribosomal RNA". It matches the Rfam family "Eukaryotic large subunit ribosomal RNA", at positions 40 to 350 of the family's 3401-position model. The record is from RNAcentral.